UGGGGAAUUUUGCGCAAUGGGGGAAACCCUGACGCAGCAACGCCGCGUGAGUGAUGAAGGCCUUCGGGUCGUAAAGCUCUGUCAGUGGGAAAGAAGUGUAUUGCGGCCAAUACCCGCGAUACUUGACGGUACCCACAAAGGAAGCACCGGCUAACUCCGUGCCAGCAGCCGCGGUAAUACGGAGGGUGCGAGCGUUGUUCGGAAUUAUUGGGCGUAAAGCGCGUGUAGGCGGCUCCUUAAGUCUGAUGUGAAAGCCCCGGGCUCAACCUGGGAAGUGCAUUGGAAACUGGGGAACUUGAAUACGGGAGAGGGUAGUGGAAUUCCUGGUGUAGGAGUGAAAUCCGUAGAUAUCAGGAGGAACACCGGUGGCGAAGGCGGCUGCCUGGACCGAUAUUGACGCUGAGACGCGAAAGCGUGGGGAGCAAACA
RNAcentral lists this ribosomal RNA (428 nucleotides) under uncultured Geobacter sp. RNAcentral describes it as "bacterial SSU rRNA". It matches the Rfam family "Bacterial small subunit ribosomal RNA", at positions 355 to 774 of the family's 1533-position model. Lineage: Bacteria; Pseudomonadati; Thermodesulfobacteriota; Desulfuromonadia; Geobacterales; Geobacteraceae. The record is from RNAcentral.